RNAcentral lists this long non-coding RNA (447 nucleotides) under Drosophila melanogaster (fruit fly). Its description in RNAcentral is "long non-coding RNA:CR43766". The record is from RNAcentral. Lineage: Eukaryota; Metazoa; Arthropoda; Insecta; Diptera; Drosophilidae.
AGGAUGGGCGAUGUGCCAUCGAUCAAAGCGCAUUCGCUUUGGGCCCAAAGCCAGAAACGCAUUUGGUAGUUGGUACGUAUAUGUAGAUGCAUACACGCAAACGAAGUGGAGGGAGCGUUUCAGGGAAUAUAACUAAAAAUAAUACAAAACAAUAAAGGCAAACUGGAGUGGUAAAAAGGUAAGGCCAAAAGCAAUAAGAAAGCGAAGGGCUAAAACGAAGGCGGUGGCGAAAACCUGCGAGAUGCCUUCACUCCUUGGCGCCAACAAGGACGUCGCCAGGACCCAUCCAGGAAUCACACACAUAUACAUAUGUACUACACAUAUACGCACGCACGCCAGUAUGCGUAUGUUUGUGUGCGGUGAGUUAAUAAUUUAUAUAUUUAUGCCGCUGAAUCGUAAAACGAAGUUGAAAAACCAAAGCCAAAACCAACAAAGGAAUAAUACAAU